Molecule: non-coding RNA, 73 nt
Organism: Oncorhynchus gorbuscha (pink salmon)
Lineage: Eukaryota; Metazoa; Chordata; Actinopteri; Salmoniformes; Salmonidae
Source: the annotation of a RefSeq genome assembly
GGUUCUGUAGCUCAGUUGGUAGAGCAUGGCGCUGUUUCCGCCAGGGUAGUGGGUUCGAUUCCUACCGGGACCA